Molecule: ribosomal RNA, 251 nt
Filed under: uncultured prokaryote
Description: partial 16S rRNA
Rfam family: Bacterial small subunit ribosomal RNA
Source: RNAcentral
ACGGAGGGUGCAAGCGUUGUUCGGAAUCACUGGGCGUAAAGGGCGCGCAGGCGGUUUGGUAAGUCAGAUGUGAAAGCCCACGGCUUAACCGCGGAAGUGCAAUUGAAACUGCCAGACUUGAGUUCCAGAGGGGAAAGUGGAAUUCCCAGUGUAGAGGUGAAAUUCGUAGAUAUCAGGAGGAAUACCGAUUGCGAAGGCGACUUUCUGGCUGGAUACUGACGCUGAGGCGCGAAAGCGUGGGGAGCGAACAG